Molecule: long non-coding RNA, 907 nt
Filed under: Pan troglodytes (chimpanzee)
Lineage: Eukaryota; Metazoa; Chordata; Mammalia; Primates; Hominidae
Description: lincRNA
Source: RNAcentral
GGAUAGAGGAUGGCAAUCUCGCUGAAGCUGUUUCUUUUUCUUCACAACAUAUAGGAAAGUGUUGCCCCUUUUUGGAGAAAGUAACAACCUCCACCAACACUACUUGAAUCAGUACUGAACGAAUGUCAGGUCCUUGGGAAAUUCUCCAAUCCUGUCUCCUGUCCUGGCCGGGUGUGCUCCUGGUGCACCAUUCGGCUAAGUCAAUUUGAACUAUUUGGGAGACCUUUGUACCUACGUUUCCUUCUGCUUGGAAGAUCCUUUCUGUUUUGUCAGCUCUUACUUCCGUGUUGUGGAAAACUGAUCUGACCUCCUAGUCCUGAAUCAGGGGCCAUAAAGAAAAUUGAUGAGGACAACUGGCCUCCCAAUAUGUGGAUUCAGUUUCCGUAUGUCAAUUUACCCACUCCCACUGGUAGUCUGAAGAGAUAUGGCUACUGGAGAACAGAAAAUCACCAGUAUUAAUAAAAGCAAUUUUAAGUGUUUACCUUUUAGUAUUUGAAUAGCUUUGUUAAAGAGACGUACUCAAGAAUACUAUGAAGAGACUCUUAUUGUACUCCUUACCUGGAGAUAAUUGUGAUGCCAGAAAUUCAAAUUUAUAUUCAACAAUAUGGUUUUUCAACCAUCAAUAUUAUAAACAUCUAGGCAGUGUCUAUUGUUUGCGCAUUUGCCAUCCUCUAAAAUGAGAUUAUUCUAAGCAUAAAUUAUACUUCAUCAUUCAAGAUUAUAAACAUUUAUAAUAAUCAUAAUAUUCACGGACGUUUCCCUGCUCUCAAAUCACUAGAGCUAAUAGGCAAAGUAGAUACAGCUACAAACAGUGGGAGAAAAUAUUUCUGGCUGACCUACAAAUAGCUGUGCAAUAAUGUAGAGAGGAAAAUAUAGUCUCACUUAUAGUGUCUGAAAUUGAGUUUCC